UACGUAGGGACCAAGCGUUGUUCGGAUUUACUGGGCGUAAAGGGCGCGUAGGCGGCGUGUUAAGUCACUUGUGAAAUCUCUGAGCUUAACUCAGAACGGUCAAGUGAUACUGAUGUGCUAGAGUGCAGAAGGGGCAACCGGAAUUCUUGGUGUAGCGGUGAAAUGCGUAGAUAUCUGGAGGAACACCGGUGGCGAAGGCGACAUCCUGGACCGGUAUUGACGCUGAGGCGCGAAAGCCAGGGGAGCAAACGGG
This 253-nucleotide ribosomal RNA is filed under the name uncultured bacterium. RNAcentral's name for it is "partial 16S ribosomal RNA". It matches the Rfam family "Bacterial small subunit ribosomal RNA", at positions 524 to 776 of the family's 1533-position model. The record is from RNAcentral.